AAUACUUUGCCGCCGGGCAAACGCUUGUUCCCGCUCCGUUAGGCCGUAGAAGGAGUGGGGAUAAGCGUUUUUUACGU
Molecule: non-coding RNA, 77 nt
Filed under: unclassified sequences
Source: RNAcentral